Molecule: ribosomal RNA, 466 nt
Filed under: uncultured bacterium
Lineage: Bacteria
Description: partial 16S ribosomal RNA
Rfam family: Bacterial small subunit ribosomal RNA
Source: RNAcentral
GAUGAACGCUGGCGGCGUGCUUAACACAUGCAAGUCGAACGAUGAAGCCCAGCUUGCUGGGUGGAUUAGUGGCGAACGGGUGAGUAACACGUGAGUAACCUGCCCUUAACUCUGGGAUAAGCCUGGGAAACUGGGUCUAAUACCGGAUAGGAGCGUCCACCGCAUGGUGGGUGUUGGAAAGAUUUAUCGGUUUUGGAUGGACUCGCGGCCUAUCAGCUUGUUGGUGAGGUAAUGGCUCACCAAGGCGACGACGGGUAGCCGGCCUGAGAGGGUGACCGGCCACACUGGGACUGAGACACGGCCCAGACUCCUACGGGAGGCAGCAGUGGGGAAUAUUGCACAAUGGGCGCAAGCCUGAUGCAGCGACGCCACGUGAGGGAUGACGGCCUUCGGGUUGUAAACCUCUUUCAGUAGGGAAGAAGCGAAAGUGACGGUACCUGCAGAAGAAGCACCGGCUAACUACGUG